CAUCAAUAGUGUGGCCUUGCAGUCCUGGCGGGCUUCUCUUUAUCCGAGAGGUUUUGAUCAGCUCCCUUGAUGUGCCCUGGCCGCAACAAUUAAAAGACGUGUGCUUCUGGCUCUGCUCUUGCAGGGGAUUUUUUGUUUAUUUUUAAUGUCCUGAUUCAGUAUCCAGCUCUGAAAUGAAGAUGUCUUGAUAAGAUGACUUACAAAGGGAAAAAUUGCUUGUGCUCUGUUUUCCUUGCUUGUGGUAUUUAAAGAAUCUGAUUUGUUUUGCCCUUUUCUUAACCCUAAAAUAUCAGUAGCGCCAGGUUUUGCUGCAGAGCUGUAUUAUCAGAGAGCCUAAAUAAUCUGGGGAAAACCUAAUCGGUUGCUUAUCUACUGACAGAGGAAGGUAUGGCAUUUGUAAUAAAAGGAUUUUCUAGGCUGUUACCAAGCAUUUGAAUUAAAUGGGUAUUAAUGAAAACAAUUUCAAAGGUUUUGAGCAAUUGGAUUAAAAACCUUUCAUCUUUUGUAGUGCAGAAGACUUUACAGACAACUGGAGAAUUUGCACGGCUGUGAGUUGCAGAGGCCAGAGACACUUGUACAAAGAAAUUCUUUUAGCAUAAAAAUCCCAAGAAAAAAAAAAAUCACUCUUAAAUAAUUACCAGAGCUUUCACUGCCCCUGGUGAGUGGCUGUACCAGCUGUGGAAUAAAUGCAGAGCUCAGGCAAGGUGGUAAAUUCUGCCCUUUCAACUCCCAAACACUGACUAUUUAGGACACAAAAACACUGAGAAGGGAGAAAUAAUUCAUGUGAAUGUCAGGAGAGAUCCUAUCAGCAUGGGUUAAUCGAACAGAUUAAAUUCUUCCCAAUACUACCAGUGCACUAAAUUUGGUGGUGCUGCUGUCACACCUUCUCAUGAGCUCUCAUCCUUGUGGUUUGAAGUUUGCAGGCAAAGGGGAAAAUACACACUUAGAUUGCAACCAAUACCGUACAUUUUCUUUCCUUCUCCUUGUCUCCCCCAACAGAAAUGGCGCUACUUAUUCUAAGCAGAAGUAGGUAGGUGAAAUUGCAGCUUUUAUACAGCUCCUACCCAUUCCCUUUACCACUGUCCUGCCCUGAGACCAUCAAACACUUGCACAGUAACGCCUGGCUCUGCGCAGAGACACUCAGCCUUUGAACCACAAGCAGGUGGUGCCAUUAGCCCGCUUUGGCUGCGUGCCUUUCACCAGCACCACACUGACCCAUUUGUUUCAGCUGAUUGUGAAACGAUAAAAAAGGAAGUUCUUUAUAAAAACAGGGAAGAUUUUUCCAAAGCCUGCAAGAUGUGACUGGGUUUCAAAGCUAAAAUUGAUUCAACAAGUGGAAAUGGCAAUUUUGUCAGCACUCAGUUCUAAGUAGAGUCAGAGCUCGGGCAUGAACUCUUUCUCCAAACCAUCCUUAGCUUUUUAGUUCUUUCUACAUUUCUUCUUUGGUUUGCAAAGCAAUAUUUCCUGCAUGUCUUUUCAGUGAGACCCAUUUAUUACCACUCAUCGUACAUGUACAAUAUCCUUGUGCACCAAGGUCUUUUCAUGCUCAGGUUGCAUAUUAUUAUUCAGCCAGGAAAAAAUUAGUAACAACUGCUUUCAUUUUUCAACCCUUACUGGAAAUGUGGCCUUCCUCAUUCCCUCUCCAUAAAUUACAUUUUACCUUCUCAAUAGCAGUAACACAUUUCACUCAAAUGCUGGUUUUUUAUCAGAAGCCUUCAAAGCACUUUCCCAAGUUGAGCAGUAAUAGCAGCAUUUGGAUUCUGAUGGGAAACCAAGUCACAGAAAAUAGACCAACACCCAGCCUGCCCUGAUGGGAAGGGAUGUCAUUGAGGUAGUCACUAGAGCCCUUUGAGUAGAGGGCGGGCGUUCACAGACCCCUUCCUACACUGCCUUUCCCUCCCAGAGUAUAAAGGUCUCAGUGCUUCCAAAAAUCAGGAGUAGAAUCCUCAAGUGGGGCACCAGCACCCAGGAAUUGGCAGCUGAAGGACCUGGUCACUGCUAGUUGGUGGCAGGGUGAGGGUUGAAGCCGGCUCUCAUUGUUCAUUGAUUCUGGCUACAAUAUGCUGUGCAACCUUCUAGCCAAGGCUCCUUUACUAACUGAAAUGAGAGUGGUAAGAGCAAAGAUGAACUUCUUAAUUACUGAGGUUCACUGCUGGCAUCUGAGCUGUCUGCCAGGGUUGGGAGAAGGAGAUGGUAUUUAGAGAGCCAGAAAUUCAGGAACCAGUAACUCUCAAGCCUACAGCUGAGUGUAACAUGAUGACGUCUGGCUGAAAUUCUUGGCAGUUCACCCGCACGAUGCUGAAAUGCUCCAGCAGCUCUGGUAGGAAAUAAACAGAGCCAGACAGGUAUGGGCUCUAUAAAUGGAUCUCACCCACAGAGCUCAUCAGGCUCCUGACAGAUACACAUCAUGCAGGCCACUGUCAUUUGUUCUAUUGUAGUCUCAGUGAUACGUUAACAUUUGAAGAUUAAGUAGGCUUUUCAAGCAGGCUUUUAACACUAUGAGACAGUCCUUUCUGAUAGCUCUUCUUGCACAUUUUGAAUUACUGAUUUAUUUUGUCUGUUUUAAUCUGAUCCCUUGCUUCAGGCUCAUUCUUAUAGUGCAAACUGUGCUCUCAUCCAGAGGGACUCCUUCCUUCAGAUUAUUUUGAUAAAUGUCUGUAUUCACCUUCCUACCAACCUGGAUUCCUCAAGGGAAAAUUAUCUCCAGGAAAUCUAUUGAUGUUCAAAGAAUUGAGCCAGGAGGAUCUGAAGAUCCAAAUCCCAGCACUUUAUCCUUCCAAGGUGGAGAAACCAAGUCUAUAUGAUUUUCUAAUGGCAAGCCUCCCCACACCUGCUGGGUUCAAAUUUUGGGUCCUCUGCUUCCUCUUUAAACUGUCAACACUGGCCAAAUCUCAUCUUUCUCAUCUCAUUUUUGUUUGCUUGCCUUCCACAGAAAUGACUGCAUUUUUGCAAAGAACUUAGGAAUGCAGUUACUUUGUAUGCACCAGUAACGGACAAUGCAAAUGACUGAUGAUCAACUUAAUUACAACGUGCCUUAGUUUUGCCACUUGGGAUAAGACAUUUGAAGCAAAAUAUGUCCCAGCCUACCUCUAAGAUGGCAAACCUAUGCAAAAAAUAUAACCUUAGGCAGUUCUGUUUAAUUUACCAUUAGGACAUAUGUGAUGUUAGUCACCACCACAUCUCUCAAGUAAACGAAAACCAGUGAGAACAGUUGUGUGGGGCUCUCUCAGGAGUGGUGGAGUUUGGAGAAGCUGGGGACCAACAUCCACUGUCUGUGCCAUUUUUGAGAAGCGCAGAAAAGCUUUUGAUAGCUGAGAAUACAGGAUGGGGUUUUUUUUGCCAUUUGCUGAGCUCUUACUGUCAUUAGUUUCAACCUCACAAGGUGAGCAGGACCAUUUCACAUGCUGCUCAGCUUAUCUGAAGCUGUAUGUUGUGCACCUGGAAUAGACAGGGGCAAUUUUUUAAAGCAUGGCAUGGAGACCGGAGGAGGUAAAGCUAAGAGGAAAUCAAUAUCUGGGAAAUUACUGCAGGAUCCUAACACUGUGUCCUUUGUCAGUGAAGGAUUGGCACUGAAUAAAAGUAGCUGGCAUGUGCUUCACCCAAGGACCCUAGGGAGGUUGGGUCCACAUGGAUGUGGCUCCAAAGCUGGGCAGUUCCAGCUGCAGAAGGACCUGUGGCAGCUCGUACCUGGCUGUAGGCUCCAUCAGGCUUGCACUGGUGUAGGCUUGGGUUUAGAGGGCAAAUAGACAGUUACCCACGGCGCGGUGCUAACCUGAAGCGAUGAUCUGUGGGAGGUAAUUUGAGGGUUACAUACCUCUGGUUUGGGAGCCAAUGGAUGUUGACACCACUAGCUGUGGUAGCGAGAGGUGGGGAGGAACUGGGAAGGUUCUAGGGACAAACCAAGGGAUUUUUAUGGGCCCCUUCCAACCUGAGAUAUUCUAUGAUUCUACAUUUUGAAGAGAAAAAGCCAUUCAUUUUGCAAAAGCUUGUUAUGCCAAAUUAUUACUGAUAUUACCCCUAAAAUCAAUGCCACUGAUAAGCACAGAGCAGCUCUCAGGCUGUGGAGUGCAGAACUGAAGCAAGAGCAUGCAGGGGGUACCAGCUCCACCUGUGUGACUACUCUACUAAAAAAAAAUGACCACGAGAACAAAGACCAUAGUUUCCAGCUCCAAAGAUGCACUGCAACACAACACAGAUGGAUGCAAAACUGGCUCCAAACAACACUGGAUCCUGUCACAGUCUGUGGCAUCUUCAUUCAGAGAUGUUAGCAGCCAGAGCAUCCAUCGUGGGACUCAAGCUGAGGCUAACUGCUGGCAGUAGCAGGGAUCACAGCCAUUUCUGCUGCAGCAGAAGUAGCCUCGGUAGCCAGAAGGAGAGCUCAAAGAGUCUGGUAGAGGAGCUCCACAAAUGACCCUUCUGGGUCCUAUGAAGACAUGAAGGUUUUGACUAAAGCUGGGACAGGAAAUCCCAAGGACAGAAAAGCUGCUCUAUUUCAGAACUCCUAAGCUGGAUACACCCAACAGAGCUUGGAGGGUUUUUUAGAAAUUUCUGCUGCCUCUCAUAAUUAAUCUGAAGUCAUGAAGACAGCUUGUUGUUGUGUGAGCCUUGCUGGAUCCAGCUGUGAAUGACAGAAACCCAAUCCAGGCAGUGCAAAGAAACCCUGAGGACGAUGAAGCUUUAGAGACCCUUCUUUGAAAGCAGCCCACUUGAGAUACGAACACAGAUCACAGCCCUCCUAAUCCAAGCUAGGCAGCAGGCAGCUAUAAACAAGUCAAUUACAGACUGAUUCUCCUUGAUCUGAGAGAUACUGCCCCGUAUCUUACAGCAGCUCUGUGUAAGGCAAAGGGCCAGGCGGACAGAGAAUUAUCUCAAAACCACACUGUAGAAUGAAAUUACCUUGAUAUAGUGUUGGCUCUCAACUGGUUUAACAACAUGGUCUGAUUCAUCUGUUCAGCCAGUGUAGCACCAAGACAGUGGAAGAAAAACGUCAUGCUGAAAAAUUGGUGCAACCAGCCUCACACAUGAGAGAACAUGAGCAGAUUGUUUCAAAAAAGCAAACAAAAAUCCCUUUCCAGUUUGCAGAGACAGUGUGCAGCUGUGUGAACCGGUACAUGGAUUUUGGAAAACCUGCUCUGUGCUACCCAGAAAUCUGCUUCUCCAGCGUUCACGAGUAGAUGAUACAAAUUAUGUACCUUCCUGAUUUGCACAGCAGAUCCUCUCCCCAUGAACAGGCUAGUGCUGUUUCUUUUUACAACUGGAAGAAGGCAGUAGUUCUUGCUUCUCUUCACAUUGUUGUUCUGUUUCUGGAUUCCACUGCAAGGGCCCUGGUCAGCUCAAGCUCCUGCUUUGGUCCAUUCAAUCAUUGUUCAUGAUUUCUCUGUGGAGUGGCCUGGUUCUGAUUUGAUACCAAAGGGAAUGUGAGCCCUUGGAGCACUCAAAGCCGGGAGAGCCCAAAGGCAUCGGUGUACAUCUGUCUAGGUAUACAGCGACUGUUAUUUAACACCAGAGUCAUUCAGCAUGCCAGGCUCACUCAAGCCUUUCCGACUGUUGGGUUAUUGCUUACUGAGAGUCUACGGUGUGGAAGGAGGAUAUUGCUUGAUAAAGGAGUGAGCCAUAAUCACAGUGCUGAUUUCUCACCUCAGCAAGAAGCAAAGGGGCAAUGGCAGAGUCAGACCAGCCCUGAAUGCUUCAGACUGCCUGCACAUGCAGGUACCCACGUGCACACCAGAUGCACUUGUCCUUCCCUACAAUCCAUCUCUGCCACCAAUAGCUGCGAUGAGCCCUCCAGUGCAAGGGGAAAGUAUUCCGCAGCAGGCAGGUAUGUGUCAUCUCAUCUGCUGAAACUUCCCCCCAGCAACGAGUUACACAAGCCCCAACGGAUCCCCAUCAAUUCUGGGCAUUAUAAAGUCAAUAUGAAAAAUCUUGCAGGUGGAGCUCAUGCUGGCACCUCAUUUUUAACUCCUCUGAACUGUCCUGGUCUUCUGGGCACCAAGGCUAUGUGUUCUUUUUAAUGGGGCUUUCAUAUACCUUGUUCCAGGAAUGAAAACAGCUGCCAGUGCAUGCAGCACCCCAGGGAAGACCCUUGCCUUUUUCCAGAGCACAUGAACGGAGCGGAGCUCUCCAGCUGCUCUGUGUGCUUGAUAUGAAGCUGUGAUAUUUGCAAGGGACUGAAGCAUGAACUGCCCUGCUAAUGCUAGCAGGUGUGAGUAACAAAGGAGAAGGAGGAAAAGGCUGAUAAUCAAAGAAAAUAGCAAAAAGACAAAUCUUCCUGAGCAGGCAGUGUGAGGAAGUAUUAAUGGUUAACUCUCAUUGUGGAGCAGGAGGAAAAAAUGCAAUUGCAAAGAGAAAGUUUACCUUGCAAAGCAAAUUUGUCAUUUACUCUGCCAGAUUAUCAUUAUUAUUUGCUCUUCAUUCUUUGAACAAUAGAGAAGGCAUGCAAAUGACCCUCGACUACAGGCAUAACCCUCUCCCUGCAACCUCCCUGCCUUCGUCCUUGCACACACAAAAAAAGAGGAUGCUAAACACACGCUUUGAAAUUCAGGAGGAUAAUUGAUUCUCUGACGUGUAGAAGCCCACAGGAUUCCUGAGGGAGCCACAGGUAUAUAAGGAGGAGUUGCACCUCCCCAGCAGCCAGAGGACAGCUGGGGGGAGAUCUGAGAGUGUCCUCCCUGCUCAGCACACAUCCCGGGUCCUGCCCAGGCACUGCACGGAGGGGACGAACCCAGCAGGGCUCACAAAAGCAGCUCUGGAGAGGAAGAAGUUGUAUUCACAACAGGGGAAGGAAACACCUGGGCAGGAGCCGAUCGAGGAAACGCUUGUUUUCUAAGGGAACGGUGACUCCAAAGGGUGGAAGAUGCUGGAUAAGGCUGCCCUGCUCCUGUUCUUGCAUUUAGUUUCAUGCUCCAUCUCCCCUCCUCUCUACCCAGCUCUCAGGUAAGCUGCUGAGUGUUUUAUCCACGCUCUCGGUUCCUACCUCUUCUCUGACCUUGUGCAAUAUAAGCACGUGCCAAAUUAAGGUUGCCAGCACUUCUGAAAGCCAGAUGAACCGUAUGUGCAUUGCUAAGCCUAGUUCUUUGCCCUGGCUUAAUUUUUUGGGUACAUUGCUAGCCUAGGAGUGGUUUCUGAAGGCAGGCACCUGACAGAAUAUUUCAGCCCAAACAGUUGGUUUUAUAAUUGAAUGUUGGGUUCUAUAAAGGGAAAUAUGACAAUCUUCAGAGCAGGCAGCACCUCCAGCUCCAUCACUGAUUUGUGCUGGCAGGCCACCUGCAUUGAAGUCAGAACUGCAGAUAUUCUAGUACAUGAACUCAACAGCUGCCUAUUAAUAUUUCAAGCAUUUCCUUGUCAACUGUUAGAAGUUGUAAUAUUACUUCAUACCACUACAAAUCGAUGGAAAUACAAAACUGAGCAUUGGGUUCUAUAAUGUGGAUUUGCAACGUCACAUAGAAAAUUCUUUAGCCCUGUGCCAAAGCCGUGGCAUAACGAUACCAGAAUUGCCGAGGAUGCCUGAGGAUGCUGGAAGCUCAGCAAGAGGCAAGUAUGUUUGAGGCAGGACACUUUCUAGCUGGGGAGAGCGAUGGACAACAUUUGCAUUACUGAUGAGAUGGAGAUGACAAAAGGAGAAAGAAAAAGCAAGCGUAGAGGGUGCAGUGGUCAAGAAGACUGAUCCCCGACUGGCAAUUGAGCACAUCUUGUAGUAUGCCCUGGGUUUGUCUUGCAGGUACAGUCCAGGGCUGGUUGCUGGCAAGGCUGUGAACUUCCAGCUACAGCACAGCAGCCCGCUGCAGAGCCAUAACCCCUUGGCAGAGGAACAAGAGGAGGAGGGUUUGUUAACAGAACCCACUGAGAAAAGGUUUGUACCUCACCUCUUGGCCCCGCUGCAGCACGAGUACACCGGUUACAAUCUUCCCUCAUCCCAGGAGCAGACCAGCAGGUCACUUAGUCCCACCAGAACCACAAAGUCCAGGCUCCAGGAGGGGAACUCAGCUGAGCCCUGCAACCAGAGCAGAAGGCUGGGACCAUGCCAGAUCUCAUGGCUUCCCUUACCGUGGAGGGUACCCUUCUGGGAGCCUGGGUCUAACCACAGGCUAGAGACCUGCUGGAGGCUCCUGUCACCCUGCCGCAGACACAGCCCUCCCGGGGGGUGACAGUGCUGCUGCAAAGCACAGAAAUGUCCCAGCCCCAGCGCUGCCCACUCCCAUCCUGUGGUCCUCCUCCUCCCUUCCACUGGUUCUCUGACCUCAUCUCUAGCUUGCAGGCACUUCUCCUUACUUGUUUUAGUGUGGGUAAACAGAUUAACAGACAUUUUAUUUUGCUUGCUGCUUCCACAUCAAGACUGAACUCCCUCAAAUCCUUUUUACCCUCCAACAACUAACAGUCCAAUACCGAAAGGCAUUUGCUAUAGUUAUCUGCCCCCGAUAUCAGCAGUACCACAUCCGAAACACCCAUUUCUCACCUAGAAGGUUCAUCACUAGCUCUAAGAGCACACCCUAUGCUUGUCUUUCAUCCCCAGGAUGCAGCGCCACGCUGAUGCCAUAUUCACUGACAACUACCGGAAAUUCCUGGGGCAGAUUUCCGCCCGCAAAUUCUUACAGACCAUCAUUGGCAAGCGGCUGGGGUAAGCCACAGCGUUUUGCUGUCCUAGGGCUAACGUUUUCACACUGGGCAGUUUCUUCCAUGCGUGUGGCAGAAAUGGCUGCCUUCCCCUGCAACAGAAGCAAUCUCUCCUGCUGUCCCACAUCCCAAAGGGCACCCUGCAUCCCUGUCUCAGAUCCCCCUAAUCACAACUGUCGUUAAGCAGCCUAAUUAAUCCUUUCCUCUAAGGCUGUAAGUAUCAGAUCAGCUGAGAGCUCAGCAUAAUAUCAACAAGCAAUAAUAUUUGCAAAUAAUAGUUGUGAUGAUCAUUCAGUGGUAGGGAACAGUUAUCCCUGGUCUAGUUUGAACACAGAAAACAGCCCCUCCACUAACACUUGGGUAGCUUUGGCUAGAUAGAUCAGUGACUGCCACUGAGACCAACUAGUCAGAUGUGAGCCAGCUCCAAUCCCUCUUCUAACACAGCAGAAAUACAGCUGAUCAGUUUCUUACUGAAACCGAGUAGAAUGGCCCUAGGCUUAGACCCAGCAGGUUCUCUUGCAGUGCUGCUCAGCCUGAGCCAUGCUUUGAGUGAGAGGCUAAAAAGCAUCUCUGAAACAAAGAUGUUUCUCAUCUUUGCAUAACAGGAGCGGUGAGAACAGCCCAGCAGAAGGGGUGCAUGAAUUUCUGACAAGGCGCCAGUCUGACAGCAUCCUGAUGGACAGCCGCUACCACCAACAGACGGUACUAAGGGACUUCCUGGGAGCCAUUCUGCAGAAUCAAAGGCCUCAGGACAUCACCAGCAGUCGGUUAAAAGGCCUUCCUGGCACCCUGGCUAAGCUCAUGUAAAUACUUCUCCCUUUUUCAUCUCCCCAUGCUCUGGUGAGUAACAUUCCCUGCUUAAUUCUGUACAUAACACACUGCUACUGCACUGCUCAAGUGGUUUGAAGACUCUUCUUCAGCAAAGUCAGCUCCCACUGCUGUCCAUGAAAAGGGGUGCUUGCUGCAAUUUAAGAGGAAAAAAAACUUCCAAUCAAAUUUGCCAAGUACCUAAAGUCCUGUUAGUCUGAGCAGAUAAGACCACGAGUGUUAUGAAACUGCACAUGGAUGUCUGGGAACAGGCUUGCAGCAACCAAAAGCAGCCUGUAAAGCCAUCUGAGACAGUAAGCCUGAAUGCCUAAGCUAGGCUAAAGGCAGGUAAAAGUCUUCCUCCAGGAGAAGAACCUGCCUCUAGGUCUCUGAGACAUUUCAGGUUUUCCCUGUGCUGAAUAGAAGAGGAAGUCUUACUGUUUUCAGUACCCCUCAGUCCUCAAAGUGGUCACUUGGAACUUAAAUUAUGCUCUGAAUCUCACCAGCCCUGGGGGACUGGGGUCCAUCCUUGGGAAUACCUUCACUCGUACAAACAUCAGUUGCCCUGUUUGAACUAACCUCAUCUUGCUCCUCUGUCUGUACACAUUAAGCCAGUCCAACCAUAGCCAGCACAGUAUAAAGGGGUGUGGAGAGACCUGUGUGCAUACUGAAAAAAAAGGAGGCUGGGGAGCAGGGGAAGAUCAGAACUUCACAUAAAUUGUGUCUAUAGAUUCAGCUGGGAGAGCACAGCAUUUCAGCAUUUCUCUUACCAUGCUUAACUCUGUUACCUUUCCACAAAUAAGGUCAGCUAGGAAAAAC
Falco peregrinus (peregrine falcon) is the source of this 10236-nucleotide RNA transcript. It is a transcript of the gene named growth hormone releasing hormone, with no coding region annotated. The record is from RefSeq and is a predicted model, not a curated record. The transcript is spliced from 3 exons. Lineage: Eukaryota; Metazoa; Chordata; Aves; Falconiformes; Falconidae.